UGCUUACCAUGCAAGUCGAGCGGAAAGGCCCUUCGGGGUACUCGAGCGGCGAACGGGUGAGUAACACGUGAGUAACCUGCCCCUGACUCUGGGAUAAGCCUGGGAAACCGGGUCUAAUACCGGAUGUGACCUCCUCCGGCAUCGGAUGGUGGUGGAAAGUUUUUUCGGUUGGGGAUGGGCUCGCGGCCUAUCAGCUUGUUGGUGGGGUAGUGGCCUACCAAGGCGACGACGGGUAGCCGGCCUGAGAGGGCGACCGGCCACACUGGGACUGAAACACGGCCCAAACUCCUACGGGAGGCAGCAGUGGGGAAUAUUGCGCAAUGGGCGGAAGCCUGACGCACCGACCCCGCGUGGGGGAUGACGGCCUUCGGGUUGUAAACCUCUUUCAGCAGGGACRAAKUUGACGUGUACCUGCARAARAAGCGCCGGCUAACUACGUGCCAGCAGCCGCGGUAAUACGUAGGGCGCAAGCGUUGUCCGGAAUUAUUGGGCGUAAAGAGCUCGUAGGUGGCUGGUCGCGUCUGCCGUGAAAGCCCGCAGCUUAACUGCGGGUCUGCGGUGGAUACGGGCCGGCUAGAGGUAGGUAGGGGCAAGUGGAAUUCCUGGUGUAGCGGUGAAAUGCGCAGAUAUCAGGAGGAACACCGGUGGCGAAGGCGGCUUGCUGGGCCUUACCUGACGCUGAGGAGCGAAAGCGUGGGGAGCGAACAGGAUUAGAUACCCUGGUAGUCCACGCUGUAAACGUUGGGCGCUAGGUGUGGGGGUCUUCCACGAUCUCCGUGCCGGAGCUAACGCAUUAAGCGCCCCGCCUGGGGAGUACGGCCGCAAGGCUAAAACUCAAAGGAAUUGACGGGGGCCCGCACAAGCGGCGGAGCAUGUUGCUUAAUUC
Molecule: ribosomal RNA, 886 nt
Filed under: Nonomuraea antimicrobica
Lineage: Bacteria; Bacillati; Actinomycetota; Actinomycetes; Streptosporangiales; Streptosporangiaceae
Description: bacterial SSU rRNA
Rfam family: Bacterial small subunit ribosomal RNA
Source: RNAcentral